UUUCUUACUGCGACGGGUCGAGGUGUUGGUCCGGAGUCUGGACGAAUAACAAAACGGUGACGCACUGGUUAAAUGCAAUAACAGGAAUAUGAGACACUCCGUGCACCAAUAUGUGUGUAACCCCGCCCCCCGUCCAGGGUGAAAGUGAAAGUAUGAAGAGUUGUUUACUGCGUCAGUUUAACAGCGACGGGUCGAGGUGGUGCACCACGGAGUUACUACACACUACGAGUAAAGAAGGAGAGAACUAAACCAACUGGACGGGGCUGUUCUGCAAGUUAUUAUCAGAACAUCUGAUGUUCUAAAGUCAAGAAGAUGAUCGGAUAUGUGUUUCUGUGGGACCUUUUAAUGGAUGACAGGAGUAGACAAUCAAGCUCAGGAGGUCGUCCAAACUUUCACGCUGAACCCAGACCUUCACAAACAAGUGUCCAGUCUACUUCCUGCGACCUGGACACCCUGAAGGUGACUCGAUCUGAGCGUACGUUGGGGAGACAAUCCCAUCCAUGUCCCUAUAACUUCUGACACUGAACCCAGACCUUUAUGAACCGAGAUCCUAUAGUCUGGUUUGGUGAUCCUGCCGUGCUGGUCUUGGUCCAGUCUGUCUGGCCUGUCGACGUGUCCUGUCCCCUUGUUCCUGUUCCAGGUUUUCCCCCGGGCUGUUUCCCUGUUUUUUGUAUUGCCCCCCCCCCCCCCCCCCGGACCUGCUUUUGGACUUUUUCGGGAACUGAACAAAAUUAUAUCUUUAAUAGUAAAUAUGUGGAACCUUGAGGAAUGAAGGAAAGCUUUGAGACGAGGGAAGUGUUGAGUUAUAAAAAGUUAAAAACAAUGUUUUGAAAAUAACGUAUUUCUGUGUAUGAAUGAUGGAGCCAGGUUAGGAAAAUCUGUGAAGAGGUCAAGUUGGCCCCUUUGUGUCUCCCCUACCCCUCUGUCUCUGCCAGACCUGUUAGAACUUAGAAAGAACCCGAUUGUUUCACACCAGGAAGUAACUUUCUGUCUCCUACCCCCCUUGGGUCUUAGUCCAGACUAAGACAACACAAUGCUGAGUAAACUGUAUUGAUGUCAGAGUUCACAUUCACAUGACAGACCCUUUGGAUCUGUGACCAAAACCAACCCCAAAGGAGCCAGGUUUAAAGGCUUGUCCUCCCCCAUUGGACAGCAAAGAUGCGAACGACGGACCAAUGAGAAUGGAUUUGAAUGCACCAGGUGAAAAGUACCCCCCCCCCCCACCCCCCCCCCCGUGCAGGGGGUAAAUGGUUGUGAUUAAGAAUAAUCAGGACUGAUCAGGACUGGUCUAAUGUGACUCCGUCAGGAGGAAGCAUGGGUCCAGUCCGCUGUCAGCUGCAGCGUUGUCAUGUUUUGUGUCUUAUCAUCUUCAUCAUUCUGUUCUUUUAAAUCUCAAUUGGACCCGAGCCUCCUUCCUCCGAGAUCCAACAGGACCAGACCCAGGAGGGUCAGCCCAGCAGAGUGAGAUCAGAUAAACGUGCAGCUGUGACCGUAUGAAAAAGGAGAAUAUUGUUUCUUUAUUAUUAACUAUGUAAACUUAAACUCGCCUAAUACACCCAGCUACAGCUCAACCAAUAGGAAAGCAAAUAAUAUGAUAUACUAACCCACAUGUAUGUAAAACAAUGAUAUAUUAACCAACAUUUAUGUAAAACAAUUAUAUACUAACCCACAUGUAUGUACAACAAUGAUAUAAUAACCCACAUUUAUGUAAAACUGUAUUCUACACCAUUUAUGUAAAUCAACUUUCAAUAAAACGGCGGAGCGGGGGAUGAGAGCUUUGGUUGCUGAAUGAUUUUCAGUUCUCAUUCCCCUUUUGCCAGAAAAAGCCA
Etheostoma spectabile (orangethroat darter) is the source of this 1829-nucleotide long non-coding RNA. RefSeq lists it as uncharacterized. The transcript has 7 exons. The record is from RefSeq and is a predicted model, not a curated record. NCBI's taxonomy places the organism in Eukaryota, Metazoa, Chordata, Actinopteri, Perciformes, Percidae.